Molecule: ribosomal RNA, 35 nt
Filed under: Luffa acutangula (angled luffa)
Lineage: Eukaryota; Viridiplantae; Streptophyta; Magnoliopsida; Cucurbitales; Cucurbitaceae
Description: partial 28S ribosomal RNA
Source: RNAcentral
AGGUCAGGCGGGACUACCCGCUGAGUUUUAAGCAU